This 576-nucleotide long non-coding RNA is filed under the name Homo sapiens (human). RNAcentral's name for it is "non-protein coding lnc-ANKRD36B-3:31". Lineage: Eukaryota; Metazoa; Chordata; Mammalia; Primates; Hominidae. The record is from RNAcentral.
CAAGAAUUGGUUUGUAGCACAAUAUUUCAACUAUGUCCUUUAAAAAGUUUCUCCACAGACACUACCCAAAGCAGUGCUUCACUACAGUGGCAGACAGACCUGAAAAUUUUCAUCUGAAGCAGCAGAGUGAACUGCAGAGGCAGGUCACCAACCAGUGUGGAGGCUAAAAGCGGGCCUCUUUGGGGAUUCCAGGUGGAAGUGUUGGACAUCUGUAGUAUUCCUGGUCUCGAAUCAUCCUGAUAUUCUUCAUUUUGUUAUUCACAUUGGACUAGGCAGGAACAAAGAUCACCACAACUGGCUCCCCUUCAACUAUGUUAGAUGGCAACUUGCCUUCAGUAUGGUGAAACACAUCAAAUUUCUCUUGCCUGACACAGCAUAGGAAGAUGCUGAACGGCCACACAGUGAUCCAUUGAGAUAGAAUCUCACUAUGUUGACCAGGCUGGUCUUGAACUCUUGGCACCCAAGCGAUCCUUUUGCCUGGAAUCCCAAAGUGUCAGAUUUACUGAAGAAUAUUUCAUUGUAAUUACUUUUUAUACUUUAUAGGUCAAGAGCUCUGUUUUAAAUACAAAAUUUAUU